Molecule: long non-coding RNA, 1023 nt
Filed under: Macaca mulatta (Rhesus monkey)
Lineage: Eukaryota; Metazoa; Chordata; Mammalia; Primates; Cercopithecidae
Description: lncRNA (ENSMMUG00000065280.1)
Source: RNAcentral
CUUUUAUUCAUCUUUUAGAUCUUAACUAUAUAUUUAUUAAAUUAUCAAUUCAACACUCACUAAAUUAAUUUUAUUUAAUUAUUUAAUAAGUAGUGAGAAAAGAAUCAAGGGUACUAUAAAAGCUAAAGUAUCCCAAGUAAGGCUUCAUGGAAAAGCCAAUUUCAUUUGGAGCACCAGGAAUGCUAGCUAAGAUACAUAAAAGACUGUAGAGAAAGGCGACAUUCUAAGAGAACAGGAAUGACAAAGACAGAAUAUUAUAAUAAGUGUUUAUGAGACUAAGAACAGAUCAGCAGGGGAAGAAGACAGAAAGAGAGCACCGAAUUUGAAUAGUAUUAGGGUUAUAAUCAACGCAAGCUCUCUAAAGAACUACAUCAUUGGACAAAAGACCUUAGGAAAGAAGAGUUCAAGAGGCAUCACCAAGGAUUGCAAUUCAGCCUUCCAAAGAUCCACCUGGGCUCCCAGACAUUGCUCCUGAAAAUGCAUUUUGCUUUGGAAAUAGAACUCAAGAGUUAAAGGGCCCUAGACCACUGCAGCACAUUUCAUCCACUUGGUAAGUGACUCUCCUGUUUCCUAUUGCUUGAAUGGACAGCCAGAUUCAUGUAGACACAUUAUGCCCUUCCCCAUGGCAGAGGUAUACUACUAAAGAGAGAGAGAGGAGAGAGAAAGAGAGAGACACAUAAAAAAUGAAAAGUACUUAAGCAAGCAGGACUACUAUUGCACUCUCUAAAAGAAAGAUGGUUGCAGUGAACAUGAUGUCUGGAACUUCAGUUUGCCCAAAUUAAAGUGGAACAUAAAAAUAAGAAGGAAAGAAAUCUAAUUUCCAUUUAAAGUUGGUAUCAGUGGUAGUUGUACAAUAUUCUUUUGUCAUACCUUCAGGUGAUGGACCUGCAAUGCUGCAGAGCUGUGGUAAUUCAAAGGUAGCCAGGAGCAAGAGAAAUAUAAAACUCACACCUGCCAAAAUAGAUCUGAGCAGUGAGUUGGCCAGAGAAAUGUGGCAGGAGAAAUAGCAGGAUGCAGACUGAA